This 429-nucleotide ribosomal RNA is filed under the name Actinomycetes bacterium. RNAcentral's name for it is "Actinobacteria bacterium partial 16S ribosomal RNA". It matches the Rfam family "Bacterial small subunit ribosomal RNA", at positions 355 to 776 of the family's 1533-position model. The record is from RNAcentral. Lineage: Bacteria; Bacillati; Actinomycetota; Actinomycetes.
UAGGGAAUCUUCCGCAAUGGGCGAAAGCUUGACGGAGCAACGCCGCGUGAGUGAUGAAGGUCUUCGGAUCGUAAAACUCUGUUAUUAGGGAAGAACAAAUGUGUAAGUAACUAUGCACGUCUUGACGGUACCUAAUCAGAAAGCCACGGCUAACUACGUGCCAGCAGCCGCGGUAAUACGUAGGUGGCAAGCGUUAUCCGGAAUUAUUGGGCGUAAAGCGCGCGUAGGCGGUUUUUUAAGUCUGAUGUGAAAGCCCACGGCUCAACCGUGGAGGGUCAUUGGAAACUGGAAAACUUGAGUGCAGAAGAGGAAAGUGGAAUUCCAUGUGUAGCGUUGAAAUGCGCAGAGAUAUGGAGGAACACCAGUGGCGAAGGCGACUUCCUGGUCUGUAACUGACGCUGAUGUGCGAAGGCGUGGGGAUCAAACAGG